RNAcentral lists this ribosomal RNA (253 nucleotides) under uncultured bacterium. Its description in RNAcentral is "partial 16S ribosomal RNA". It matches the Rfam family "Bacterial small subunit ribosomal RNA", at positions 524 to 776 of the family's 1533-position model. The record is from RNAcentral.
UACGGAGGGGGCAAGCGUUGUUCGGAAUUACUGGGCGUAAAGGGCGCGUAGGCGGCCUGUUAAGUCGAACGUGAAAUCCCCGGGCUCAACCCGGGAACUGCGUCCGAUACUGGCAGGCUUGAAUCCGGGAGAGGGAUGCGGAAUUCCAGGUGUAGCGGUGAAAUGCGUAGAUAUCUGGAGGAACACCGGUGGCGAAGGCGGCAUCCUGGACCGGCAUUGACGCUGAGGCGCGAAAGCGUGGGGAGCGAACAGG